UAUUUCAUCGUCUUCUUCACAAAGCCGUGUUUCAACUCGCCAAAUCCAUGGCGAGUGAUUCAAAACCCAUAACCACGCGUCCCUCCAUCUCUCCUCUUGCCGUUUCUAACGGUUUCUGAUGCCAAGAUUCCCCUCUCCUCUCAUCACUCGAAUUUGAGAUAUAUCUCACGAUUGGAAGGUUCUGGGAAGGAUUGGCUGGAUGAAUGUGAGGCGUUGGAUUGAUUUCACUCAAUCCGAGCCCCACAUUCAUCAGGAGUUCGUUUUCAAAAAGGAACCUCAUCCGAUUUUUAGGGAGAGAAUUCUGGGGGGAUCUUUUUCAGUUUUGGGGAGAAUAUUUUGGGAUUUUUCUGAAAAUUUAGGAGGGAGGAUUUUGGAGAGAUUUCUUUUAAAGAAAAUUGAAGGGAAAAAUCAGUGUUAAAAGUUUUCUUCUUCUUUUCUAUGGUUCGUUUGUUUUCUUAUAUGAGAACGGAACAAAUGUUAUGGAGUUCCCUUGAUUUCAUUUGAUGUGAGUUUUAUUGAGCAUUUCGAAAUAAUAGAGUCUCUUCAUUUCGAUUCUGGAUUUUUGAGUAAACAUGGAAGUCGUUUGAGAAGCUCGAAUCUGUUGUUGCUCGAGGAUUGAUUUUCAGCUGCUGUUUGCUUUGUUCGAUCUCAUUUCUGGGCUAGUUCAGUGUUUCGAUUUCAGGUUCUUUGACUGACUCUUCCUCUUAUUUUACUCUUUGGUGUCAUUAAAGUAGGAGGAGGGCUUAGGAUAGGCAAGUAAGAUUGGUUUGAAUUCUUGAAAUGUUGAAGUUCGAGUGUUAAUAAAAGCAUAUUGUUGGUUUUGGGUUGACGACGAGUCUGAAUGAAUCCUCCCUGAUGUGCAAAUAUGUUCUAUUUUGUGUUGUUUUUGAGUUCAAAUGUCAUACAAUCCUGAAUCUGUCUGAUUUCGACAGGCUUGAUUGAAGUCAGAUUUGGUUUAUGAGUUUGUGGUUUACUGAAGUAUGUCAAUGUCACUGCUGAGAGAAGCUCGAUUAGUUCCUUUGAUGUUUUUGCAAAGUUUUCUUGCACGUGUUGUCUGAUUUGUGUCGGUAUGAGCAGCAUAUGCAUUUCUUUAGGCUUAAAUGAAUCAAAUCCAUGUUAUUUCACAGUUGUAGGUCUGUUCUUGCUUGCAGAAAGUUGAACGUUGAUUCAUGUUCGAGCUCAGGCUAAAAUGAGAUCUGAAAUGUUGUUCAUCUUUUUCCUGAUUCGAGUUACAUUUUUGUGUCUGGUUGUAUGCUUCUAUUGGACUAUUCUGCUGAAAAUCUGCUUUGUUCUGCACUGUUGGGGCAGCAUAUUUGCACAAUUUUGAGCGUAAAUCUUGCAUUGAUUUGGUCCACAGCAGCUUUGAAUUACUAGGCAGUUUAUGUGUAUAACUGAAGUUUGUUUGGUUUCAUGAGCGUUUCAUUAAUCUUCUCUGUUUGUGAUCCUCUUUGAAAAAGAAAGGUUAUUUCCUUUAAUCUGUCUUGUUGCAAGAAGGAGUUUGAACUCGUGUUUGGUGAAAUGAAUUCUAUAUACUGACCAAGAAAGGACUGAGGCCUAUCCAAAUUAGCAUUAAGAACUUGGAAAUUCACAAGUUAGAAUGGUUUAAUAACCAUAUUUCGUUGUUUAUGACUAAACUGAAAGCAAAUAGCUCGUCCUCUGUUUUCAGUUUGCAAGUGCUUUAGGAAAGAAUUAUUCUGUCUUCAAUCUUUUGCUAUUGGUUUUAAUGAGUCUGCUUGGCAGUUUCUGACCGACUCUACCACUAAUUUCAUAUGAGAAAAGAUACAUUUCUAUAUGAAUUCUAUAGCAUUUUAAACCUGUUGAUAUUUUGUAUAAAGUUGGGUUUUUUUUUGGUCCAAUAUAUGUUGUAAGAACGAGGGGGCGAAAUGGCUUUAGUCAAAACAAUUGAAGCAUCUGAUCCUUGUGAUGGUCACUUAGGAUACUUUGUACUCAAGCUUUGAAUUUACUUCUUGAAUUUGUUUGCAUGAAAAUUCGAUUGCUCUU
RNAcentral lists this long non-coding RNA (2001 nucleotides) under Nicotiana tabacum (common tobacco). Its description in RNAcentral is "long non-coding RNA (NTAB_LNC010147)". The stretch from base 191 to 261 matches the Rfam family "MIR6151 microRNA precursor family". The record is from RNAcentral. Lineage: Eukaryota; Viridiplantae; Streptophyta; Magnoliopsida; Solanales; Solanaceae.